RNAcentral lists this ribosomal RNA (852 nucleotides) under uncultured bacterium. RNAcentral describes it as "bacterial SSU rRNA". It matches the Rfam family "Bacterial small subunit ribosomal RNA", at positions 57 to 894 of the family's 1533-position model. The record is from RNAcentral.
GCAGUUGAGCGCUGAGGUUGGUACUUGUACCGACUGGAUGAGCAGCGAACGGGCGAUUAACGCGUGGGGAAUCUGCCUUUGAGCGGGGGACAACAUUUGGAAACGAAUGCUAAUACCGCAUAAAAACUUUAAACACAAGUUUUAAGUUUGAAAGAUGCAAUUGCAUCACUCAAAGAUGAUCCCGCGUUGUAUUAGCUAGUUGGUGAGGUAAAGGCUCACCAAGGCGAUGAUACAUAGCCGACCUGAGAGGGUGAUCGGCCACAUUGGGACUGAGACACGGCCCAAACUCCUACGGGAGGCAGCAGUAGGGAAUCUUCGGCAAUGGACGAAAGUCUGACCGAGCAACGCCGCGUGAGUGAAGAAGGUUUUCGGAUCGUAAAACUCUGUUGGUAGAGAAGAACGUUGGUGAGAGUGGAAAGCUCAUCAAGUGACGGUAACUACCCAGAAAGGGACGGCUAACUACGUGCCAGCAGCCGCGGUAAUACGUAGGUCCCGAGCGUUGUCCGGAUUUAUUGGGCGUAAAGCGAGCGCAGGUGGUUUAUUAAGUCUGGUGUAAAAGGCAGUGGCUCAACCAUUGUAUGCAUUGGAAACUGGUAGACUUGAGUGCAGGAGAGGAGAGUGGAAUUCCAUGUGUAGCGGUGAAAUGCGUAGAUAUAUGGAGGAACACCGGUGGCGAAAGCGGCUCUCUGGCCUGUAACUGACACUGAGGCUCGAAAGCGUGGGGAGCAAACAGGAUUAGAUACCCUGGUAGUCCACGCCGUANACGAUGAGUGCUAGAUGUAGGGAGCUAUAAGUUCUCUGUAUCGCAGCUAACGCAAUAAGCACUCCGCCUGGGGAGUACGACCGCAAGGU